GACGAACGCUGGCGGCGUGCUUAACACAUGCAAGUCGAACGGAAAGGCCCUGCUUUUGUGGGGUGCUCGAGUGGCGAACGAGUGGGUAACACGUGAGUAACCUGCCCUUGACUUUGUGAUAACUUCAGGAAACUGGGGCUAAUACCGGAUAGGAUCUCCUGCUGCAUGGUGGGGGUUGGAAAGUUUCGGCGGUUCGGGCUGUACUCGCGGGGUAUCAGCUUGAUGGUGGGGUAGUGGCUGACCAAGGCUUUGACGGGUAGCCGGCCUGAGAGGGUGACCGGCCACAUUGGGACUGAGAUACGGCCCAGACUGCUACGGGAGGAAGCAGUGGGGAAUAUUGCACAAUGGGCGGCAGCCUGAUGCAGCAACUCCGCGUGCGGGAUGACGGCCUUCGGGUUGUAAACCGCUUUCGCCUGUGACGAAGCGUGAGUGACGGUAAUGGGUAAAGAAGCACCGGCUAACUACGUG
Molecule: ribosomal RNA, 468 nt
Filed under: uncultured bacterium
Lineage: Bacteria
Description: partial 16S ribosomal RNA
Rfam family: Bacterial small subunit ribosomal RNA
Source: RNAcentral